GAUGAACGCUGGCGGUAUGCUUAACACAUGCCAGUCGAACGGACUCUUCGGAGUUAGUGGCGGACGGGUGAGUAACGCGUGAGAAUCUGGCUUUGUGUUCGGGACAACCACUGGAAACGGUGGCUAAUACCGGUUGUGCCGUGAGGUAAAAGAAGAAUUGCCUGCAGAUGAGCUCGCGUCUGAUUAACUAGUUGGUGAGGUAUAGGCUCACCAAGGCAGCGAUCAGUAGCUCGUCUGAAAGGACGAACACCCACACUGGGACUGGGACACCGCCCACAAUCCCACAGGAGGAAGCAGUGAAAAAUUUACCGCAAUGGCCGAAAGCCUGACCACGCAAUACCGCGUGAGGGAAGAAGGCUCGUGGGUUGUAAACCUCUUUGCUUAGGGAAGAACAAAAUGACGGUACCUAAGGAAACAGCACCGGCUAACUCCGUG
Molecule: ribosomal RNA, 435 nt
Filed under: uncultured bacterium
Lineage: Bacteria
Description: partial 16S ribosomal RNA
Rfam family: Bacterial small subunit ribosomal RNA
Source: RNAcentral